UACGUAGGUGGCAAGCGUUGUCCGGAAUUAUUGGGCGUAAAGAGCUCGUAGGCGGCUCAACCAGUCGGCUGUGAAAUCCCGAGGCUCAACCUCGGACAUGCAGUCGAUACUGUUGUGGCUAGAGUUUGGUAGAGGAGAACGGAAUUCCCGGUGUAGCGGUGAAAUGCGCGGAUAUCGGGAGGAACACCAGUAGCGAAGGCGGUUCUCUGGGCCAACACUGACGCUGAGGAGCGAAAGCGUGGGUAGCAAACAGG
This 254-nucleotide unclassified non-coding RNA is filed under the name uncultured Acidimicrobiia bacterium. Its description in RNAcentral is "contains 16S-23S intergenic spacer region". It matches the Rfam family "Bacterial small subunit ribosomal RNA", at positions 524 to 776 of the family's 1533-position model. The record is from RNAcentral. Lineage: Bacteria; Bacillati; Actinomycetota; Acidimicrobiia.